Bombina bombina (fire-bellied toad) is the source of this 720-nucleotide long non-coding RNA. RefSeq lists it as uncharacterized. NCBI's taxonomy places the organism in Eukaryota, Metazoa, Chordata, Amphibia, Anura, Bombinatoridae. The transcript has 2 exons. The record is from RefSeq and is a predicted model, not a curated record.
GUCAAACACUUCACAGGGACACCAGCUCAGCUCUCAUCUUCUGUGCGCAAUUUAUGGAAUUUAACCCUAUCCUCUGAUGGUGAAGAUCAGCAAGCAAAUCAUAUGGUUGCAAGUGGGUGAUGCCGCAGCUCUCAGCGUGUUACUAUACGAACCGGAAGUGUCAAGAGGCAGAAGGUAUAGCCUUGUCAUCCAGAGUGCCGUAGCCAAAGUGGUGGAUCAGACCGCAUCAAUAGAGAAAAGAAAAGGGGAAAAGGCAGGCACUCCUCAUGAACCAUAAUGAAGUGAAAAUAUAAAAACAGCAAUCUUUAAUAUUCAGUAUAAAGCAUACAUACAGACAUGGCAGGAGAACUGGGGUAAAGACCGUCUUUCUCCCAGACCUCCUAAAAUGGCUAUUUAAGCACUGUCUUUUAGAUACUUUUGUCAGGCAUGUGUAAGGGCUAGGUGUUAGCCCAAAAACAUUGCUGUAUAUAUGUGUACCUGUGUGAAAAAUAAAGAUAUUUUAAUUCAUCACAGCUGGAGAUAUCUCUUCUUUGUGAUUUCUAUAUUGUCAGCACCUGUUAAUUGAUACAGGUGAGUUUAAUUAGAAAUUACAGGAGUAUCAAACUGUCCAGUUAAUUUUUCGAGUUUUGCGUGGAAUGUGUCAGAUUUGGCUUUUUUUUCUCCCCACUUUUUUGUGUCAUACCAAUAUAAACAAAAUAAAUAAACACGAGAAUGUCUAAA